UACGUAGGCAGCAAGCGUUGUUCGGAGUUACUGGGCGUAAAGGGUGUGUAGGCGGUUCUUUAAGUCUGGUGUGAAAUCUCCCGGCUCAACUGGGAGGGUGCGCCGAAUACUGAGGGACUUCGAGUGCGGGAGAGGAAAGUGGAAUUCCUGGUGUAGCGGUGAAAUGCGUAGAUAUCAGGAGGAACACCGGUGGUGUAGACGGCUUUCUGGACCGUAACUGACGCUGAGACACGAAAGCGUGGGUAGCAAACAGG
This 254-nucleotide ribosomal RNA is filed under the name uncultured bacterium. RNAcentral describes it as "partial 16S ribosomal RNA". It matches the Rfam family "Bacterial small subunit ribosomal RNA", at positions 524 to 776 of the family's 1533-position model. The record is from RNAcentral.